Non-coding RNA from Pelobates cultripes (western spadefoot toad), 307 nucleotides. The record is from the annotation of a GenBank genome assembly. NCBI's taxonomy places the organism in Eukaryota, Metazoa, Chordata, Amphibia, Anura, Pelobatidae.
CCUCAAUGUGCUUCCCAAUGAAGAUAAAAUCAAAUGGUCCAGCACUCCUCAGUAAUGAUACAUUCCCUUAAAUGUAUACGACCCUGCAAUAGGGUCUUCAUCAAAUUUGACUAAUCCCCCAAUUACAUGGCUUGAUAAAGACUAUUACUGGGUCAAAAUGUUGCUGCUGUGAGUACACAUUAAAGGGUAUACAGAAGUACUGAGGAGUAUCAUAUUGUUUGUUAAAUCUUAUAAGACUGACUUGUGGGCAAUACCAUGACUAGGAAUAGUGUGAUAGACCUCUUCACUCUCCUUCUCAUUGAGAAAC